UACGAAGGGGGCUAGCGUUGCUCGGAAUUACUGGGCGUAAAGCGCACGUAGGCGGCUUUCUAAGUCAGGGGUGAAAUCCUGGAGCUCAACUCCAGAACUGCCUUCGAUACUGGAGAGCUCGAGUCCGGGAGAGGUGAGUGGAACUGCGAGUGUAGAGGUGAAAUUCGUAGAUAUUCGCAAGAACACCAGUGGCGAAGGCGGCUCACUGGCCCGGUACUGACGCUGAGGUGCGAAAGCGUGGGGAGCAAACAGG
This 253-nucleotide ribosomal RNA is filed under the name uncultured bacterium. Its description in RNAcentral is "partial 16S ribosomal RNA". It matches the Rfam family "Bacterial small subunit ribosomal RNA", at positions 524 to 776 of the family's 1533-position model. The record is from RNAcentral.